Molecule: ribosomal RNA, 377 nt
Filed under: uncultured bacterium
Lineage: Bacteria
Description: partial 16S ribosomal RNA
Rfam family: Bacterial small subunit ribosomal RNA
Source: RNAcentral
UGGGGAAUUUUGGACGAAUUGGGCGAAAGCCUGAAUCCAGCAAUGCCGCGUGUGUGAAGAAGGCCUUCGGGUUGUAAAGCACUUUUGUCCGGAAAGAAAUCCUUGGCUCUAAUACAGUCGGGGGAUACGGUACCGGAAGAAUAAGCACCGGCUAACUACGUGCCAGCAGCCGCGGUAAUACGUAGGGUGCAAGCGUUAAUCGGAAUUACUGGGCGUAAAGCGUGCGCAGGCGGUUUGCUAAGACCGAUGUGAAAUCCCCGGGCUCAACCUGGGACUGCAUUGGUGACUGGCAGGCUAGAGNAUGGCAGAGGGGGGUUAGAAUUCCACGUGUACAGUGAAAUGCGUAGAGAUGUGGAGGAAUACCGAUGGCGAAGGCA